UUGGCCAUAGCCAAGCAAGUGGCCACAAUCGAGGCGCCUGCCUCGAUUGUGUUCCGGAUGUACGUUCCGCGGAAUGGGUGCGAUCGUGAUCAGGUGGCGGAGCUCGCGGGGAACCGGCAUAAACUCCGGUGGAUCCUGGGUGUUCGGUGGGAAGUAGCCGAGCUCGCACAAGGUGUGACGGCCCGUCUUGGUCAUCGUCAGUCGUAUCAUAAUCUGCGCUUUCUCCUGCUCAGCGAUCUCUUCGAGCGUAUUGUGCACCCCAAGCUCGAGGAGUCGAUACGUCGGCGCGGUGAUCGGAAGCCCGAGGGCCCGCUUCACUACCUUUCGGUUUCUCCAGCUGAUCUGGCCAGUCACCCCGAUCACCCCUGUCACCUCGGUCACCUGGUACAGACGGCAGGGAUGACUGCAUUCCGAGCAUGCUGCAACUUGUUUGCAACCGCUCACACUCAGCGAGGAGCUUGGCGUUCUCGUCCCGCUGCCUGAAAGAUGCAAAAAGGUGCCACAACCUGAUGAGCAACCCGAGCCUGACGAUCUGGCACACCUGGUCCUGAACCUGCUUGGAUGCUGCAGACAGCUGAGCCAUCAGUGCAGAUGUAUCUUCAGAGAGCUCCG
Dermacentor andersoni is the source of this 612-nucleotide long non-coding RNA. RefSeq lists it as uncharacterized. NCBI's taxonomy places the organism in Eukaryota, Metazoa, Arthropoda, Arachnida, Ixodida, Ixodidae. The record is from RefSeq and is a predicted model, not a curated record.